Molecule: ribosomal RNA, 454 nt
Filed under: uncultured Alkaliflexus sp.
Lineage: Bacteria; Pseudomonadati; Bacteroidota; Bacteroidia; Marinilabiliales; Marinilabiliaceae
Description: bacterial SSU rRNA
Rfam family: Bacterial small subunit ribosomal RNA
Source: RNAcentral
ACAAGCGGAGGAACAUGUGGUUUAAUUCGAUGAUACGCGAGGAACUUACCUGGGUUUAAAUGGGAAGUGACAGCUUUAGAAAUAGAGCCUUCUUCGGACACUUUUCAAGGUGCUGCAUGGUUGUCGUCAGCUCGUGCCGUGAGGUGUCGGGUUAAGUCCCAUAACGAGCGCAACCCCUAUUGAUAGUUACCAGCACGUAAUGGUGGGGACUCUAUCGAGACUGCCGGUGUAAACCGUGAGGAAGGUGGGGAUGACGUCAAAUCAGCACGGCCCUUACAUCCAGGGCUACACACGUGUUACAAUGGCCGGUACAAAGGGCAGCUACUCCGCGAGGAGAUGCGAAUCUUAAAAACCGGUCUCAGUUCGGAUCGAAGUCUGCAACCCGACUUCGUGAAGCUGGAUUCGCUAGUAAUCGUAUAUCAGCCAUGAUACGGUGAAUACGUUCCCGGGCCUU